RNAcentral lists this ribosomal RNA (460 nucleotides) under uncultured bacterium. RNAcentral's name for it is "partial 16S ribosomal RNA". It matches the Rfam family "Bacterial small subunit ribosomal RNA", at positions 338 to 795 of the family's 1533-position model. The record is from RNAcentral.
CCUACGGGUGGCAGCAGUGAGGAAUAUUGGUCAAUGGACGGAAGUCUGAACCAGCCAUGCCGCGUGCAGGAAGACGGCUCUAUGAGUUGUAAACUGCUUUUGUACAAGGGUAAACCUGAAUACGUGUAUUCAGCUGAAAGUACUGUAAGAAUAAGGAUGGGCUAACUGCGUGCCAGCAGCCGCGGUAAUACGGAGGAUCCAAGCGUUAUCCGGAUUGAUUGGGUGUAAAGGGGGCGUAGGAGGAUUGAUAAGUUAGAGGUGAAAUGUCCGAGCUUAACUCGGGAACUGCCUCCAAGACUGUCGGGCUUGAGAGUAGGUGAGGUAGGCGGAAUGUCUGGUGUAGCGGUGAAAUGCUUAGAGAUGAUACAGAACACCGAUUGCGAAGGCAGCUUGCCAAUCUAUAUCUGACGUUGAGGCACGAAAGCGUGGGGAGCAAACAGGAUUAGAUACCCCAGUAGUC